ACGGGUGAGUAACGCGUGAAUUACCUACCCUAGGGAGGGGGAUAACGCCUGGAAACGGGUGCUAAUACCCCAUAGGCCGGGAGGUUCAAGGGAGUAAUCUGCCCUAGGAUGGGUUCGCGUCCUAUCAGCUAGUUGGUGGGGUAAUGGCCUACCAAGGCGAAGACGGGUAGCCGGUCUGAGAGGAUGUACGGCCACACUGGAACUGAGACACGGUCCAGACUCCUACGGGAGGCAGCAGUGGGGAAUAUUGGGCAAUGGGCGCAAGCCUGACCCAGCGACGCCGCGUGAGGGAAGAAGGCCUUUGGGUUGUAAACCUCUGUUGUACGGGAAGAAGGCAGUGACGGUACCGUACGAGGAAGCCCCGGCAAGCUACGUGCCAGCAGCCGCGGUAAUACGUAGGGGGCGAGCGUUGUCCGGAAUUACUGGGCGUAAAGGGCGCGCAGGCGGAUAUGCAAGUCUGCUGUGUAAUGUCACGGUUCAAGCGUGUCAUUGCGGUGGACACUGCAUAUCUGGAGUACUGGAGAGGGGAGUGGAAUUCCCGGUGUCACGGUGACAUGCGUAGAUCUCGGGAGGAACCACACUGCGCGAACGCGGCUCUCUGGCCAGUUACUGACGCUCCAUGCGCGAAAGCUGGGGGAGCGAACCGGAUUAGAUACCCGGGUCAGUCCCAGCCGUAGACGAUGAAUGCUAGGUGUGGGUGUCGAAGGGCAUCUGUGCCGCAGUUAACGCGAUAAGCAUUCCGCCUGGGGAGUACGGUCGCAAGGAUUGAAACUCAAAGGAAGUGACGGGGGGCCCGCACAAGCGGUGGAGCACGUGGUGUAAUUCGAGGCAAAGCGCGAAGAACCUUACCUGGGUUUGACAUGUACGUGGUACUGACCCGAAAGGGGAGGGACCCAUACUUCGGUAUGGGAGCGUACACAGGUGCUGCAUGGCUGUCGUCAGCUCGUGUCGUGAGAUGUUGGGUUAAGUCCCGCAACGAGCGCAACCCCUGCAUCUAGUUGCCAACGGGUGAAGCUGGGCACUCUAGAUGGACUGCCGGCGACAAGCCGGAGGAAGUUGGGGAUGACGUCAAGUCAUCAUAGCCCUUAUGUCCAGGGCGACACACGUGCUACAAUGGCCGGUACAGCGGGAAGCGAAGGGGAGACCUGGAGCGGAUCUCUGAAAGCCGGUCCCAGUUCGGAUUGUAGUCUGCAACUCGA
RNAcentral lists this ribosomal RNA (1199 nucleotides) under uncultured bacterium. Its description in RNAcentral is "bacterial SSU rRNA". It matches the Rfam family "Bacterial small subunit ribosomal RNA", at positions 102 to 1315 of the family's 1533-position model. The record is from RNAcentral.